GACGAACGCUGGCGGCGGGCUUAACACAUGCAAGUCGAACGGAAAGGCCCUGCUUGUGUGGGGUGCUCGAGUGGCGAACGGGGGAGUAACACGUGAGUAACCUGCCCUUGACUUUGGGAUAACUUCAGGAAACUGGGGCUAAUACCGUAUAGGAGCUCCUGCUGCAUUGUGGGGGGUGGAAAGUUUAGGCGGUUGGGGAUGGACUCGCGGCUUAUCAGCUUGUUGGUGGGGUAGUGGCUUACCAAGGCUUUGACGGGUAGCCGGCAUGGGAGGGUGACCGGCCACAUUGGGCCUGCGAUACGGCCCAGACUCCUACGGGAGGCAACAGUGGGGAAUAUUGCACAAUGGGCGGAAGCGUGAUGCAGAAACGCCGCGUGCGGGAUGACGGCCUUCGGGUUGUAAACAGCUUUAGCCUGUGACGAAGCGUGAGUGACGGUAAUGGGUAAAGAAGCACCGGCUAACUACGUG
Molecule: ribosomal RNA, 468 nt
Filed under: uncultured bacterium
Lineage: Bacteria
Description: partial 16S ribosomal RNA
Rfam family: Bacterial small subunit ribosomal RNA
Source: RNAcentral